CAAAACUAUAGAUGCUAGGAUUCUCGAACGCAUGACCAGACGCCACUUUUCACCAUGGUUGGUACCUAUGACUGUUGUGAAAUGUCUUUUAGUAAAUACAAAAAAAACGUCCAAAAAAGUUAUUACCAUGAUUAAUGGGAAGACCGUUGUAAAAUGGGUGUUACGAAAGGUCUAUUUUGUAGUAGUGCUUGUAUCCCAAUCAACUGUAUUUUUUAUAUAUAAUCAAUGAGUAUCUCAAUCAAUGUUAAUGUCG
This 253-nucleotide long non-coding RNA is filed under the name Lathyrus oleraceus (garden pea). RNAcentral's name for it is "Pisum sativum (pea) long non-coding RNA (PSAT_LNC003093)". The record is from RNAcentral. Lineage: Eukaryota; Viridiplantae; Streptophyta; Magnoliopsida; Fabales; Fabaceae.